RNAcentral lists this ribosomal RNA (422 nucleotides) under uncultured bacterium. RNAcentral's name for it is "bacterial SSU rRNA". It matches the Rfam family "Bacterial small subunit ribosomal RNA", at positions 28 to 444 of the family's 1533-position model. The record is from RNAcentral.
GACGAACGUUGGCGGCGUGCUUAAUACAUGCAAGUCAACUGAAGCACCGGUAGUAAUACUGGUGUGGAGGUGGCGCACGGGUGAGUAACACGUAGGUAAUCUGCCUUCAGGUCUGACAUAACCCCGAGAAAUCGGGGCUAAUAGCAGAUGAUGCAGCGGCUUGACAUCAAGACAGUUGUUAAAGCUUCGGCGCCUGAAGAUGAGCCUGCGUCUGAUUAGCUAGUUGGCGGAGUAAUAGCCCACCAAGGCGACGAUCAGUAGCUGGUCUGAGAGGAUGAUCAGCCACACUGGAACUGAGACACGGUCCAGACUCCUACGGGAGCAGCAGUAAGGAAUAUUGCUCAAUGGGAGAAAUCCUGAAGCAAGCAACGCCGACGUUGAGGGAUGAAAGGGCUUUUGCUCGUAAACCUCUGUAGUGAGGG